AGAGUUUGAUCAUGGCUCAGAGUGAACGCUGGCGGCAGGCCUAACACAUGCAAGUCGAGCGGCAGCGCGUCCGACCACCCUCGGGUGGUCGGAUGGCGGCGAGCGGCGGACGGGUGAGGAAUGCAUCGGAAUCUGCCUCGUUGUGGGGGAUAACGUAGGGAAGCUUACGCUAAUACCGCAUACGACCUACGGGUGAAAGUGGGGGACCUUCGGGCCUCACGCGAUGAGAUGAGCCGAUGCCGGAUUAGCUAGUUGGCGGGGUAAAGGCCCACCAAGGCGACGAUCCGUAGCUGGUCUGAGAGGAUGAUCAGCCACACUGGAACUGAGACACGGUCCAGACUCCUACGGGAGGCAGCAGUGGGGAAUAUUGGACAAUGGGGGCAACCCUGAUCCAGCCAUGCCGCGUGUGUGAAGAAGGCCUUCGGGUUGUAAAGCACUUUUGUUGGGGAAGAAACCGGCCGGGUUAAUACCCUGGUUGAAUGACGGUACCCAAAGAAUAAGCACCGGCUAACUUCGUGCCAGCAGCCGCGGUAAUACGAAGGGUGCAAGCGUUACUCGGAAUUACUGGGCGUAAAGCGUGCGUAGGCGGUUUGUUAAGUCUGCUGUGAA
This 609-nucleotide ribosomal RNA is filed under the name uncultured bacterium. Its description in RNAcentral is "bacterial SSU rRNA". It matches the Rfam family "Bacterial small subunit ribosomal RNA", at positions 8 to 598 of the family's 1533-position model. The record is from RNAcentral.